GUGGGACUCGCACGUGCCCUAUUUCCUCUCUCCCUGUCCGAAGCAGCUCUCGGUCAGUUGAAGAAGUCGCAUUUCGCUUACCAGAUCUUACACAGUUCCCUGCAAUCUCACUUCGCUUCGUUUCCGUAAAGCUCCGGGUCGGAUUCGUCCCCGCGCUCCGGCCGUCGCGUCCGCCCGUGGAGCGGUGGCGGUGGUGGUGCCUCUUCUGGAGCUGCAUCCGUCUGCCGAUAGUUUCGUUCCCCACCCGGUUCCGCCGCCGAUCGCGCCGGCUCGAUGGCUGCCCGGAUUUCAUGAGCUCCUCGAACCGAGGAGAAUGGAAAAUUAAAGGAGCGCGCUGGUGAAGUAAUUUCGUGUAAUUCGUCGAUUAUAAAAGUUUGGCCUUCGUGGAGUCGGGGCAUCUCUAAGUGCUGCAGGUUGAGUUUUGGUGGCAAAAUUUGGGAACAGAGCAGAGACUGAUGGAGGAUGGGCUAAACAGAGGAGACCCUCAAGGAAAUUUUGUUAGGCAAUCGUCGCUGAAGCAGGGCGGUGGCACCUAUAAAUCCACAUUGUCGGGCAGAUCAACGCCUAGGAGUUCUCCUCGUAGAUUGCAUGCUAGCCGAAAUCCAAAAAGAGAAGGUAGAACUGGUGGAGUUAGUUUGCAGUGGUUCCGCAGUAACAGACUGGUGUAUUGGUUGCUUUUGAUCACUCUAUGGACUUACCUUGGAUUUUACUUCCAGUCCAGAUGGGCUCAUGGUGAGAACAGAAAUGAAUUCCUUCGUUUCAGAAAUAAACUAAGAAAACACGAUCCUGACUCUCAUAACAAUGAAAGAAGGAGUUUGAUUGCCAACCACAGUACAACAGCAACAAAAAAUGAGACUGACGUAAGGUUGCCGGAAAAUAAAACAAUAGGUGUGGUGUUGGCUAACAAGGGCGGUGGGGGUUCAUCUCCUCAAAUUGUUGCUAGGAAAAAGAAUAAGAAAUCAUCACGUAGAUCAAGGGGUAAAGCACGCAAACGGGCACCCAAGGUGGAGAUCGAGAGGCAGAGUUAGAAGAGCAGGAACCCGAAAUUCCCCAGAAAAAUACUACUUAUGGUCUCCUUGUUGGUCCAUUUGGCAAGACAGAGGACAAAGUAUUGGAAUGGAGUCCUGAGAAACGAUCAGGCACCUGUGACAGGAAGGGAGAUUUUGCUCGGCUUGUUUGGUCAAGGAGGUUUCUGUUGAUUUUCCAUGAGCUUUCCAUGACCGGUGCUCCCCUAUCAAUGAUGGAGCUUGCGACAGAGCUACUGAGCUGUGGGGCUACAGUUUCAGCUGUGGUUCUUAGCAGGAAGGGAGGAUUGAUGUCGGAGCUUGCUAGGAGAAGAAUCAAAGUGCUUGAAGACAAAGCAGACUUCAGCUUCAAAGUUGGGAUGAAAUCUGAUCUUGUGAUCGCUGGAUCAGCUGUCUGUGCUUCAUGGAUUGAUAAAUACAUGGAGCACUUUCCGGCUGGUGGGAGUCAGAUCACUUGGUGGAUCAUGGAGAACAGGAGAGAGUAUUUUGAUCGUGCAAAGCCUGUACUCAACCGAGUAAAGAUGGUUAUUUUUCUUUCAGAGUCGCAGUCUAAACAGUGGCUAACUUGGUGUGAGGAAGAAAAAAUAAAGUUGAGAUAUCCACCUUCAGUAGUCCCACUAUCAGUUAAUGAGGAAUUGGCUUUUGUUGCUGGGAUUCAUUCUUCACUCAACACCCCAUCCUUCAGCACCGAAAGGAUGAAGGAGAAAAGGAUGUUGCUGAGGGAUUCCGUCAGAAAAGAGAUGGGAUUAACAGAAAAUGACAUGCUUUUGAUUUCUCUGAGUAGCAUAAACCCUGCAAAAGGCCAGCUUCUGCUUCUUGAAUCGGCAUGCUCGCUGAUAGAGAAUGGCUCCUUGCAGCAUAGUACUAAAGUAAAAACCCCUGCAGGACUUGGCAAGGCCCAGGAGGAAGUGAACUCCACUGUAAAGAGUCAUUCGAGAGCAUCGUUUCAGGAGUUGCAUGAUUCUGAGUCAGUGAGUGAACUGCCCAGCUAUUUGGAUUCUUUGAAAAACCCUAAGAGAAAAACUUCGUCAUUGCCUGGUCCCAUGAGGGAGCAUGGGAUAGAUACUUUAAGUUCUGAGCACAUUGCUCAAAGAAGAAAAACAUUGUCUGAUAGUGAAGGGAAGCCACAGCAGGUGCUGAAAGUACUUAUUGGGUCUGUUGGAUCUAAAAGCAAUAAAGUACGAUACGUGAAAGAAACACUUUCAUUUCUAUCCAUGCAUUCAAAUUUUCAAAAUCCGUUCUGUGGACACCAGCAACUACUCGUGUUGCCUCACUUUACUCUGCUGCGGAUGUUUAUGUCAUCAAUUCACAGGGCAUGGGAGAGACAUUUGGAAGAGUUACAAUUGAAGCUAUGGCGUUUGGCCUUCCGGUGCUCGGAACAGAUGCAGGAGGCACAAAAGAGAUUGUCGAUCAUAAUGAAACGGGCCUUCUUCACCCUCCAGGUGGUCCUGGAAUUGAAGUGCUUGCCAGAAAUAUCCAGUACUUGCUUAGAGAACCGGCAUUGAGGGAGCAGAUGGGGAUGAAGGGGAGGAAGAAGGUGGAAAAAAUGUACUUGAAACGGCACAUAUACAAGAAAUUCGCCGUGGUUCUCUCCAAAUGCAUGAGAUGAGGGAUCUUUUACCACUGGACAUUCUCAUUCUCUCACAGGGCGAGUAGUUUCUUCGAAGAGCUCACGUGCUGGCCGAACUGUUUGGCCGUUCAUUGAUUGAGGAUUGAUUCAUUUUACAAGAUGAAGAGAUGUGGUGAUCAUAAUGGGUAUAUCUUUUCCUCUACCACAUUUUUUUCUUUCAAUUUGUCGUCGAUCAUCACCAUUCAUCUCCAAAGCAACUCGCUGUCAUCUCACGGAUGCCAGCCGAUACUUCAUCUUACAAUGUACGUCUCGUGUUCCCAGUA
Molecule: RNA transcript, 2918 nt
Organism: Eucalyptus grandis
Lineage: Eukaryota; Viridiplantae; Streptophyta; Magnoliopsida; Myrtales; Myrtaceae
Exons: 5
Source: RefSeq, a predicted model, not a curated record